UGACCUACGGCGCGCAGCAGUAGGGGAUAUUGCACAAUGGGGGAAACCCUGAUGCAGCGACGCCGCGUGAGUGAAGAAGCAUUCCGGUAUGUAAAGCGCCAUCAGCAGGGAAGAAAAUGACAGUACCUGACCAAGAAGCCCCGGCUAACUACGUGCCAGCAGCCGCGGCAAUACGUAGGGGGCAAGCGUUAUCCGGAUUUACUGGGUGUAAAGGGAGCGUAGACGGUUAUGUAAGUCUGGAGUGAAAGCCC
This 251-nucleotide ribosomal RNA is filed under the name uncultured bacterium. RNAcentral describes it as "partial 16S ribosomal RNA". It matches the Rfam family "Bacterial small subunit ribosomal RNA", at positions 335 to 603 of the family's 1533-position model. The record is from RNAcentral.